RNAcentral lists this long non-coding RNA (442 nucleotides) under Mytilus galloprovincialis (Mediterranean mussel). The record is from RNAcentral. Lineage: Eukaryota; Metazoa; Mollusca; Bivalvia; Mytilida; Mytilidae.
GUCCUCCUUUAAUUCAAAAUAUUGAUACGUAACAAAAUUUCAGUAGUUUUGAUACCUCAUGCUGACCAUGCUGACUUGUACAACAAAAUUAUUUGACCGCAUAAACUAAAACUGACCAUAUGUACACUUUAAUUUGUAAAGUUAUAUACCUGUAUAGUAAAUCAGCCAUAUUUUUUGUGUUAGGAUUCAAUGUACAAUACAAUGGACAGCAAUAUUGCAAUACAAUAACAACAAAUUUGUGUUUGCAUACAUUUAGGGUGCUAGAAUGACCUCUUUUUAUUCAAAAUAUUGAUACGUAUCAAAAUUACAGUGUUUUGAUACCUCAUGCUGACUUGUACAACAAAAUAUUUUGAGCGCUUCCACCAAAACUGACCAUAUGUGCACUUAAAUUUGUAAAUCUAUAUACCAUAUAUACCCGCAUAGUAAUUCAGCCAUAUUUUUG